AAUUGUAUAAAUAGUUUAAAUAAAAUAUUAGUUUUGUAAACUAAAGAUAAUAAAAAAUUUUUAUAC
Molecule: transfer RNA, 66 nt
Filed under: Pentapycnon charcoti
Lineage: Eukaryota; Metazoa; Arthropoda; Pycnogonida; Pantopoda; Pycnogonidae
Description: tRNA-Thr
Source: RNAcentral